AUCAGCAGCCAUAUCACUCUGCAACUCACAUCUGGCAACAAACUGAAGCUCAGCAGGUGUGAGCCUGGUCAGUACCUGGACGGGAGAUCUCCUGGGAAAAACUAAGGUUGUUGCUGGAA
RNAcentral lists this ribosomal RNA (119 nucleotides) under Lepisosteus oculatus (spotted gar). Lineage: Eukaryota; Metazoa; Chordata; Actinopteri; Semionotiformes; Lepisosteidae. The record is from RNAcentral.